This 1172-nucleotide ribosomal RNA is filed under the name uncultured Bifidobacterium sp. RNAcentral describes it as "bacterial SSU rRNA". It matches the Rfam family "Bacterial small subunit ribosomal RNA", at positions 173 to 1357 of the family's 1533-position model. Lineage: Bacteria; Bacillati; Actinomycetota; Actinomycetes; Bifidobacteriales; Bifidobacteriaceae. The record is from RNAcentral.
UGCUCCGCCCCACCGCAUGGUGGGGUGGGAAAUGCUUUUUGCGGCAUGGGAUGGGGUCGCGUCCUAUCAGCUUGUUGGCGGGGUGAUGGCCCACCAAGGCGUUGACGGGUAGCCGACCUGAGAGGGUGACCGGCCACAUUGGGACUGAGAUACGGCCCAGACUCCUACGGGAGGCAGCAGUGGGGAAUAUUGCACAAUGGGCGCAAGCCUGAUGCAGCGACGCCGCGUGAGGGAUGGAGGCCUUCGGGUUGUAAACCUCUUUUAUCGGGGAGCAAGCGAGAGUGAGUUUACCCGUUGAAUAAGCACCGGCUAACUACGUGCCAGCAGCCGCGGUAAUACGUAGGGUGCAAGCGUUAUCCGGAAUUAUUGGGCGUAAAGGGCUCGUAGGCGGUUCGUCGCGUCCGGUGUGAAAGUCCAUCGCUUAACGGUGGAUCUGCGCCGGGUACGGGCGGGCUGGAGUGCGGUAGGGGAGACUGGAAUUCCCGGUGUAACGGUGGAAUGUGUAGAUAUCGGGAAGAACACCAAUGGCGAAGGCAGGUCUCUGGGCCGUUACUGACGCUGAGGAGCGAAAGCGUGGGGAGCGAACAGGAUUAGAUACCCUGGUAGUCCACGCCGUAAACGGUGGAUGCUGGAUGUGGGGACCAUUCCUCGGUCUCCGUGUCGGAGCCAACGCGUUAAGCAUCCCGCCUGGGGAGUACGGCCGCAAGGCUAAAACUCAAAGAAAUUGACGGGGGCCCGCACAAGCGGCGGAGCAUGCGGAUUAAUUCGAUGCAACGCGAAGAACCUUACCUGGGCUUGACAUGUUCCCGACAGCCCCAGAGAUGGGGCCUCCCUUCGGGGCGGGUUCACAGGUGGUGCAUGGUCGUCGUCAGCUCGUGUCGUGAGAUGUUGGGUUAAGUCCCGCAACGAGCGCAACCCUCGCCCUGUGUUGCCAGCACGUCAUGGUGGGAACUCACGGGGGACCGCCGGGGUCAACUCGGAGGAAGGUGGGGAUGACGUCAGAUCAUCAUGCCCCUUACGUCCAGGGCUUCACGCAUGCUACAAUGGCCGGUACAACGGGAUGCGACACGGCGACGUGGAGCGGAUCCCUGAAAACCGGUCUCAGUUCGGAUUGGAGUCUGCAACCCGACUCCAUGAAGGCGGAGUCGCUAGUAAUCGCGGAUCAGCAACGC